GGCUUCACAGGGCGCAUGCGCGGCGUGAGAAGGAAGCAUUCUCCUUGUGCGCAUGCGCAGUGCCGGGCGCGCGAUUGGGAGAGCAGCACGUGCGCGGCGCUGUGGCGCCAGGCUCAAGGAGCUUUACGCAUGCGCACUGCGGGUCCGACAUGGCGGUGCGGGGAGGUGCGAUGCGGGACCGGGACCUGGGAUAUGGGCCUCAUGUCUUAGUGCUGCUCUGCCCGGAGCACUGUGUGCUGUGGGCUGGCUGCAGCAAUAGGCUUUUAUAGGCUGAAUAUAGGAGCUGCUCUGCUUUAGGGCCAUCCCUGCUCCCAGCAUUAACAGGAGCACCGGAUGUGGAUGCGAUCACAUCCCCAUUGCUCCCUGCUGACACAACGUGUUGUUAAUCACUGAGCUCUGACACACAGCGUUCGUUCAGCUACAGAACGGACCUGCUGGGCUGCACAGCUCCGUGCUGCGCUGUGCACACGGACGGGAGGGGCCCCGCUGCUGCUUCCUGCGGGCAGAGCACACAGCAGCUCUUGUUCCAGCUGCAGGGCGGGCGCUCCGGGCCCGAACUAACGGGGCACGUGGUUGAGACCGCAUCCCUGCCCGGGGCUGUGGCCGGGGCUCGCUGUCUGUCCGUGCUGUCUAACCGGAGCUGCCGUAUCAGGACAGGAGGGGAUGGGGGGGUUACAGGAGGGCUGUUCCAUCGCCCCUCUGCGGGGGGGUGCGCACGUGGUGCGGGCGGACCGGUCCAAGUGCGGCGGGGGGAGGCGGCGGUUAGGGGGAGAGUCGGGCCGUACCAAUGCCGGCUGCGUGGGGAGGGUGCGGGGAGCUCCGGCUGCGCAGGGAUGAGAGCGGCGGCUCCUCGCGGCUCGGGGACGGGGCUCAACCCGCAUCUCGUGUGGCGGAAAACGGCUGCGAGGCUGCGCCGCUCGCACGGCACAGACAGACACGGGAUCCCCCCGCGAGGGCACCGAGUGGGCGCUUCCACGCGGGGGGAUUGAGGCGGAGCGGGCCGUACCACUGCCGGUUGCGGGGGUGCGUCGCGCCGUGCCAAUCAGCGCCGUGCGGGCCGUACCACGGGGCAGGGCGGGGGGGGAGCGGCCUGUGCAGUGUGAGCCGUGUGGCGGCGGGGCUGUGCGCUGUGUCCGCCGCUCGGGCCGCACCGGGGGUCGUUCAGCCUCAGCCCCGUCACGGGCCCCGCCGCUCCCCAACGCCGCCGCCGCCCCUUCCUGCCCCCAUCGCGCCCCCCGGCCCGCGGUGUGGGAGGCGCCGGGUCCGCUCGGAAGAACGGCGCCGCGCUCAAUGCCCGGGGUGUUCUGGUGGAAUUCACGUCGCACAUUUAUGGCGAUUCUGA
Molecule: long non-coding RNA, 1342 nt
Filed under: Coturnix japonica (Japanese quail)
Lineage: Eukaryota; Metazoa; Chordata; Aves; Galliformes; Phasianidae
Description: lncRNA (ENSCJPG00005000568.1)
Source: RNAcentral